GUUUGGCGCCAAGCUGAAUGUGUCUCUAGUCAUAAGCCUGAAUUGAUGAGGUUACUAUGACUAACGAGCACAUCCAGCGUGGCACUGUUUAGC
RNAcentral lists this microRNA precursor (93 nucleotides) under Caenorhabditis briggsae. RNAcentral describes it as "pre miRNA CBG29686". Lineage: Eukaryota; Metazoa; Nematoda; Chromadorea; Rhabditida; Rhabditidae. The record is from RNAcentral.